AUACGUAGGUGGCAAGCGUUAUCCGGAAUUACUGGGCGUAAAGCGCACGCAGGCGGCCAGUCCAGUCUGACGUGAAAGCUCCUGGCUUAACUGGGAGAGGUCGUUGGAAACUGAUUGGCUUGAGGCAAUGAGAGGGACACGGAAUUCCCGGUGUAGUGGUGGAAUGCGUAGAUAUCGGGAGGAACACCAGUGGCGAAAGCGGUGUCCUGGCAUUGACCUGACGCUCAUGUGCGAAAGCGUGGGGAGCGAACGGGAUUAGAUACCCUGGUAGUCC
Molecule: ribosomal RNA, 274 nt
Filed under: uncultured bacterium
Lineage: Bacteria
Description: partial 16S ribosomal RNA
Rfam family: Bacterial small subunit ribosomal RNA
Source: RNAcentral